UUCUCUAAGACUAAAGGAGAAGCCCACGAAGGAACGAUGGACUCUUUUUGAGUUUCGAGUCAUGGAAUAAAAGGAAGGGUUUGCAUAGAUGACCUGGAGACGCGGAGAGCUGAGUGAGGAAGAAUUUGAAGUCCUUGUCCAUCUGAAGCCAUGAUUUAAAUACCAGCAUUACGAUUUGAACAAGAACAACUUCAGCGUCAUUGGAUUCCCACGUCAAAGAAAAGUUCCAAGCUUUCAGAAAGAGUUCUUGCUUGAAGACAAAGAACAGCUUGCCAACCACAAUAGAGGAAUCGACCCUCAGCUUUUAAGUGCCCUUCCUAAAGUUGCAGAAUUAAGAAAAAUCUUCGAACCAA
RNAcentral lists this long non-coding RNA (353 nucleotides) under Sus scrofa (pig). RNAcentral's name for it is "lncRNA (ENSSSCG00070017560.1)". Lineage: Eukaryota; Metazoa; Chordata; Mammalia; Artiodactyla; Suidae. The record is from RNAcentral.